GGCACUGUGGCUCAAGUGGUAGAGCGUUAGCCUUGAGCUAAAGAGCUUAGGGACAGCGCCCAGGGCCCAAAGUUCAGUGCCA
Molecule: transfer RNA, 82 nt
Filed under: Dipodomys ordii (Ord's kangaroo rat)
Lineage: Eukaryota; Metazoa; Chordata; Mammalia; Rodentia; Heteromyidae
Rfam family: tRNA
About the family: Transfer RNA (tRNA) molecules are approximately 80 nucleotides in length.
Source: Rfam by way of RNAcentral